Molecule: non-coding RNA, 90 nt
Filed under: bovine gut metagenome
Description: THF riboswitch
Rfam family: THF (Tetrahydrofolate) riboswitch aptamer
About the family: THF riboswitch presents a pseudoknot that joins P1-P2 and the loop of P3 and two THF binding.
Source: RNAcentral
GGAGUAGGAUACAGCGCGUUAAGUGCCGGACGGAUAGGAGGUUGCCGCCGGACGAAGGGAUUUCUUUUGAUCCCGCGGUGCUCUAUCCGC